This 445-nucleotide ribosomal RNA is filed under the name uncultured bacterium. RNAcentral's name for it is "partial 16S ribosomal RNA". It matches the Rfam family "Bacterial small subunit ribosomal RNA", at positions 354 to 796 of the family's 1533-position model. The record is from RNAcentral.
GUAGGGAAUAUUGGGCAAUGGAUGCAAGUCUGACCCAGCCAUCCCGCGUGCCGGAAGAAGGCCCUCAGGGUUGUAAACGGCUUUUGACGGUGAAGAAUCGACAGGAUGCGUCCUGUUUUGACGGUAGCCGUUGAAUAAGCACCGGCUAACUCCGUGCCAGCAGCCGCGGUAAUACGGAGGGUGCGAGCGUUGUCCGGAUUUAUUGGGUUUAAAGGGUGCGUAGGCUGGAAGGUCAGUCAGCGGUGAAAAGCUGUCGCUUAACGAUAGUCUUGACGCAGAUACUUCCUUUCUUGGAUGAGGAGGAGGCCACUGGAACGGAUGGUGUAGCGGUGAAAUGCAUAGAUAUCAUCCAGAACACCGAUUGCGAAGGCAGGUGGCUGUACCUUAAUCGACGCUGAUGCACGAAAGCAUGGGGAGCAAACAGGAUUAGAAACCCCUGUAGUCC